CCUGCAAGCCAGCACACACAUCGUUACAGGUAUGUAUCCCUGCCCUUACCUCCCUGGGUUCUCUAAAGAGGGCAAAGAUCUCCAGCAAGAACUACAGCUCACAGUCUUGUGGGUAAAGAGAGCACGCACUUUGGUUCCCCCCACUGAAAUCCCACCAAAAUGGAAGUAAAGGAAAAAGUAUCCACACAGAGUAAGAAAGGAGGAGUAUGGAGAGUGAUGUCAUAAAGAUGGUGACACAACUUGUUCACGGCUUCACUUUCCCUCAAAAGAAGAACAGCUAUUCAUAGAGACACACCAUGAACAAAUCCUACAACACAGCAGUGAGGCUGAAGUGCCCUGCACUAUGGACACUGAGACCGACUCUGUUUGAAGGAUCGCAGCUGAAUCUGUGAGGCCCAGCUGCUGAGAAUCGGAUUGUGACCAGAGGGCUUCCAACAACCAGCACUCAGAUCUCCACAGCCUGAGUCCCUACCUGCAGGGCCCAAGUACUGCCAGGGCAAGGAAGGUAAUUCCAGCCUCACCUACUGCUGAGUCGAGUAGCCAUCCUGACUGUCUAGCAAGCCUGACCAGAGAAUCCAGGCAGCUGUGAAGCCGAUGCUCCAGCCUCACGGGUGCAGGGAAAGAAACCAGCUGUCCUACCUGAUCUCAGCCAGUGGCAUAUUCAGAGUGGAAAAAAGUGCCUCAAGCCAAAACAGAACUUAACAGCAGGUCCUUUCACCCAUAGGAGAGAAAGCCAGAAACCCAAAUUGAGCUGACUAGUGAAGAACUGUAUCUGCACACUUCCAGAGGUACAAUGAAUUCUUCGAAAAAGAAUUCAAAACAGGGCCCACUGUCAAGAAGCCCACUUCCAAUCUCUUGCAUGCCUAUAAACUAACAAUGAAAAAUCAGAGAAAUUAAGCAGACUCCCAUUUACCACUCAAACAAAAAGAAUAAAAUACCCAGGAAUAAACCUA
This is a long non-coding RNA of Aethalodelphis obliquidens (Pacific white-sided dolphin), 953 nucleotides long. RefSeq lists it as uncharacterized. The record is from RefSeq and is a predicted model, not a curated record. NCBI's taxonomy places the organism in Eukaryota, Metazoa, Chordata, Mammalia, Artiodactyla, Delphinidae. The transcript has 3 exons.